GGGCGAGCUAGGCCGGGAGGUUAGUCCUCUCCUGCCACCGCAAACGGACUAUACGGCGGGGCCGAAGCCGGCGGAGCGGGCCGCGCCUCCCCUGAGGUCCUUUGUGGGACGAUGACUUUCUGUCCUGCGGGGCUGUUCCUUUCCGGAACCGGGUCAGGGCAGGAAUGCAGCAGCCCUAACGGAUUGGACCGGUGCUUGCAGGGUAGCGGAAACGAGAACCUCAAAGGGUUGCCUCUGGGGCCCGGCGUGCGUCUCAUCCGCUGGCGUGCUCGCCC
This 275-nucleotide signal recognition particle RNA is filed under the name Candidatus Woesearchaeota archaeon. Its description in RNAcentral is "signal recognition particle sRNA". It matches the Rfam family "Archaeal signal recognition particle RNA". The record is from RNAcentral. Lineage: Archaea; Nanobdellati; Candidatus Woesearchaeota.